GAUUACGUCCCUGCCCUUUGUACACACCGCCCGUCGCUACUACCGAUUGAAUGGCUUAGUGAGGCCUCUGGAUCGGCUCCGACUAGCUGGCAACGGCCGGUCGCUGUCGAGAAGUUGGUCAAACUUGGUCAUUUAGAGGAAGUAAAAGUCGUAACAAGG
This 159-nucleotide ribosomal RNA is filed under the name Archaeorhizomyces sp. Its description in RNAcentral is "partial small subunit ribosomal RNA". It matches the Rfam family "Eukaryotic small subunit ribosomal RNA", at positions 1643 to 1799 of the family's 1831-position model. Lineage: Eukaryota; Fungi; Ascomycota; Archaeorhizomycetes; Archaeorhizomycetales; Archaeorhizomycetaceae. The record is from RNAcentral.